RNAcentral lists this ribosomal RNA (253 nucleotides) under uncultured bacterium. RNAcentral's name for it is "partial 16S ribosomal RNA". It matches the Rfam family "Bacterial small subunit ribosomal RNA", at positions 524 to 776 of the family's 1533-position model. The record is from RNAcentral.
UACGUAGGGGGCAAGCGUUGUCCGGAAUCAUUGGGCGUAAAGAGCGUGUAGGCGGCCAGAUAAGUCCGCUGUGAAAUCUCGAGGCUCAACUUCGAGCUGUCGGUGGAAACUGUCUGGCUAGAGUCCGGAAGAGGAGAAUGGAAUUCCUGGUGUAGCGGUGAAAUGCGCAGAUAUCAGGAAGAACACCAGUGGCGAAGGCGGCUCACUGGUCCGGUACUGACGCUGAGGUGCGAAAGCGUGGGGAGCAAACAGG